This 740-nucleotide long non-coding RNA is filed under the name Olea europaea subsp. europaea. Lineage: Eukaryota; Viridiplantae; Streptophyta; Magnoliopsida; Lamiales; Oleaceae. The record is from RNAcentral.
AAAGCCCUUUUAUAAUACUCUUUCAAACCAAAUUCAACAAUACUCAUCUAAAAGUCUUUGGAUGCCUUGCCUUCACUGCCAUUCUUGCCAGUGGAAGACAUAAGUUCAAUCUUAGAUUUAAAACAUCUGUCUUCAUUAGUUAUCCUUUCAGCAUCAAAGGGUAUAGAUUAUUAGAUUUCAAGUCAAAUAAAGUAUUUAUUUCAAUGAAUGUCACAUUUUAUGGGAACAUUUUUCCUUGCAAAAAUCUCACCUGCGACGACAUCGUUCCUCUGCCUAACUUUGACCAUCUCAAUUUCAUGCAAAACCCUAGUGUCUCUAAUGAUCCUCUCUUCGCUUUCCCUAAUGAUAUCAUAUUGAUCAUACUGAUGAAGAUUCAUUUGCACCUGAUAUUCUAGCAACCUCUAACUCCAAUAUAGACACCAACCAUGACAUAACACAACUCCCCAUCAACAUUUUGGAACCAAAUCAUCCUAUUGUCACACAUUUACCCAGCAAGUCUAGCAUAAUUUGAAGGGCCCCUUCUCACUUAUAAGACUUAAUAUGUCAACAAGUUUCUUCAACUCUUCAUCUCAGAAGUUAAACAAGCAAAAAAAGUGAAUACUAUAGGUAAUAUCUUUCUUUUUAGUGAUAGGAUUGUCUAUUAUAAACUAUCUACACCUUAUCGUGUUUUUGUAACUUCAAUAACAAAUCACUCUGAGCCUAGGAAUUAUCAAGAAGUCAUGACCUCUCUUGAAUGGUAU